GAUGAAGAACUUAGCGAAAUGCGAUAAGUAGUGUGAAUUGCAGAAUUCAGUGAAUCAUCGAAUCUUUGAACGCACAUUGCGCCCUUUGGUAUUCCUUAGGGCAUGCCUGUUCGAGCGUCAUUUAAACCUUCAAGCUAAGCUUGGUGUUGGGUGACUGUCCGCUUCACGGCGGACUCGCCUCAAAAUUAUUGGCGGCCGGUACAUUGGCUUCGAGCGCAGCAGAAACGCGAACUCGGGCCCGUCGUAUUGGCUCCCAGAAGCUAUCUUCACAAUUUUGACCUCGGAUCAGGUAGGGAUACCCGCUGAACUUAAGCAUAUCAAUAAGCGGAGGA
This 332-nucleotide unclassified non-coding RNA is filed under the name soil metagenome. RNAcentral's name for it is "partial contains 5.8S ribosomal RNA, internal transcribed spacer 2, and large subunit ribosomal RNA". The stretch from base 1 to 120 matches the Rfam family "5.8S ribosomal RNA", at positions 35 to 154 of the family's 154-position model. The record is from RNAcentral.